CAGAAAACAGAAGCACCAGUUUGAAGAAGAAAUCACAACGAAAUUCUUCGUUGUCAACUCCAGGUUUCUUGUUCUGCUUACUAUCCUUGUCUCAUGUUAGUUCGUUUUCACACGCAAAAAUUUCCAGAUUGACAAUUCCACAAGAAAGGGGUAGCGUCAGCAGAAAGAGAGAGAGAGAGAGACACACACACAAAGAGAAAGAGAGAAGUCAUUGACUCAAUGAUAAGCUUCCCCGUUUCCAGAAUGAAU
Molecule: non-coding RNA, 249 nt
Filed under: Protocruzia adhaerens
Lineage: Eukaryota; Ciliophora; Spirotrichea
Source: RNAcentral